AUUCUGCCCAAGCGGAGAAGGAUGAGAAGCUUCGACUAAGGUUCGACUCGAGCGCCAGCGAGAGAGCGUUGCCGCAGGCAACGACCUGAAGGGCGAAGCGCGCAGCGCUGAGUAAUCCUUCCCUCACCACCA
This 132-nucleotide small RNA is filed under the name Escherichia coli. Its description in RNAcentral is "RtT sRNA". It matches the Rfam family "RtT RNA". Rfam says of the family: This family represents a bacterial cis-regulatory element known as RtT RNA. The exact function of RtT is unknown although it is thought that it may be involved in changing the cellular response in relation to amino acid starvation. The record is from RNAcentral. Lineage: Bacteria; Pseudomonadati; Pseudomonadota; Gammaproteobacteria; Enterobacterales; Enterobacteriaceae.